GCAGAUCCCAACACUCCAGGAUGGUGCAGGACAUCAGUCUCAAGAGCAGGAAAGCUGAGAAUGUGCUGGAAAUGCUUGUUGAGGCCGACGUGUCAGGCAGCCCAUCAGUGCAGGAUGGAGCCUCGGUUGCAGAGAACUGCAGGGAGGUGGUGUGGAAGCUCAUUGGCUGUAAGAACUGCUCCGCUGCGACAGUGCUGCUGGAGGUGGUGGUGAACAGAUUUCUGAUGCCAAGCUGAUCAUCGUCUCAGCACCAGCAAAGACAUGCUAUUCCCGUCCCUGACGAGCAUUUCCUUCUUGAGAAAGUGAUUUUGAGGGGCUGCAGAUGUACUUGGAGGAAGGUUUGGGCCGGGACAGAUGACGUGCCCAUGUGGGAGCUGGACGGCCCCUCUCUGGGUAGCUCCCUGGGAACUCCCAUGUCCGCCUCCCGCUGCCUCCUGAUCCAAGGUGGAUGCACUUCAUUUGAGGCCUGGUCUUUCGUCCUUCCCUCUCCUCUUCGGGGACCACUUUGUCUAGUGCUAGACUCAUUGUGCUUCCCCCUUGGGGCUUCCUUCAGCCCUCAGCCGAUUCAAGACUUCAAAAGGAAGUUGGACAUGGAGAGGAAAAAAGAAAUGAAACCAGGAAGGAACCGCCAAGAAGCACACAACGCGUUUAUGCUGCCUUAACCACACGCUUGACUCUAAAUGGGUUUAAAAAUUCUUACUUGUGUUAGCCCAAGAAAGUUUCUGCAGCCGUCUUUUUGGUUUAAACAAUCAAAUACUCAAUAAUUCUGGGGCUGGUGGGCCAGGAUAUGGGUUACUCAGAUCUUCUGCUUCACCCCAUGCUCGGUCCCUGAGCCAGUUCUGUCAUUGGUUCUUUCAGACCAGGGCAGGAAAAGUCAAGAAAGCAAAAGCGGAUUCUAGGCUGUGGGGUUUGCUGUUUGCUAGCCCCCUGGCAGAGAUGCCUGUCCUUGCAGUCCUGAACUGGUGGCCAAGUGUGCAUGCAUGCACGUGCAGGUGUGUGCAUGUGCAGGUGUGCAUGCGUGUAUGUGCGCACACACAUUCAUGCUUGUACAUGUUUGUGUACACGCACACUUUUUUCUGCUUUCAAUUUCAAGCUGUUGCCUCCCUGAUGUGUCUGUUUAGUGACUUGAGCCAGAAAGAUUCCCGGUUCUAUGUGGGAUGAGAAUGAACGCAGGCAGGUCUCCACAGAAGUGAGUAAAGUAGAGCUGAGAAGAAGGACAUUGUCUCAUGCCAGCCUGUCCAAUAGCCACUUUGCCCCAGCCCUGCCUCAAGCCCCAGAGAGAUGACAAGGCUCUCUCUGUUUGUCGACUCCUUGAAGCUCAGAAAGGUGGGUCAAGAGGUGCCCGUCAAGCGUUUAGGCAAGCACAGGACCCUGAUCUUUACUAAGUCUCCACAUCUCUCUUGCACAGCCCUGGGCUCAGGGCUUGGUCCCCUCUGGGCAGGCCAUCCAGACUAAGUGACAGUCAGAUUGUGUGUGGGGAGGCUAGAGACAUCCAUUCUUCAUGGAUCAGCCUGAAUGGCUGGACAGAUCUUGCAAAUGGAUUGUGUAAGACAGAGUGUGGAAGAGGAGGCUGUGAUCAGUGGCUUGGAGAGCAGAGUGUGGUCAGGCGCUAAACCUAAGGCUUUUCUGGGAAGAGCUGUUAAGAUUAGACUGUUCUCCCAAAAAGCCAAUAAUUCUGAGUGUCUCCAUUAAUGCCUAGGUAGCCCAUACUCUCACCCAGCCGGUGCCCUUCAGCCUGGAACCUUUGGAUGGAGGAUUGGACCUUGUGACCUUCAAGUUCCCUUCCGAACCAAAUAUGCUCUAACCCAGGAGAUGGUGCUGUUGCCCAGGAAGCCGGUCACCAUGACGAGAGUACCCGCUCAGAUGAGGAUGCAGGCGGAGGCGGUGAAGGUGCUGGAGGCCAGGAUGCUGAGGUACCUCCAGACACCACCCAGGCUGCAGCAAAUGGAAUGGGAGAGGCUAACACACCAUAAUUUUUCAAUUCCAUGAUGCCCAUUUUUUCUCACAUUUUAACGUCUCUAAAAUUGGGGCACAUCUUAUGAUUGAUGGCAUCUUACAAUUACACUUGGCAGUACUUUUUCUUGGUGAUACAAAAAAACAACAGUGUAUCUUACAACUGAUAGCUUAGAUUCAGUGAAAUCCUAGAAUACAACAGGUUUGAAAA
RNAcentral lists this long non-coding RNA (2164 nucleotides) under Homo sapiens (human). RNAcentral's name for it is "HSALNT0366183". Lineage: Eukaryota; Metazoa; Chordata; Mammalia; Primates; Hominidae. The record is from RNAcentral.